CCGUCAUUGACGCUGAGGCACGAAAGCGUGGGGAUCAAACAGGAUUAGAUACCCUGGUAGUCCACGCAGUAAACGAUGAUAACUAACCGUCGGCGAUACACAGUCGGUGGCCAAGCGAAAGCGAUAAGUUAUCCACCUGGGGAGUACGUUCGCAAGAAUGAAACUCAAAGGAAUUGACGGGGGCCCGCACAAGCGGAGGAACAUGUGGUUUAAUUCGAUGAUACGCGAGGAACCUUACCCGGGCUCGAACGGUGCAGGAAGGAUCAAGAGAUUGUGACGCCCUUCGGGGCCUGCAUCGAGGUGCUGCAUGGUUGUCGUCAGCUCGUGUCGUGAGAUGUUGGCUUAAGUGCCAUAACGAGCGCAACCCUUGUCAGUAGUUACCAGCAAGUCAAGUUGGGGACUCUACUGAGACUGCCACCGCAAGGUGUGAGGAAGGCGGGGAUGACGUCAAAUCAGCACGGCCCUUACGUCCGGGGCGACACACGUGUUACAAUGGCGACUACAGAGGGAAGCCACCUGGCGACAGGGAGCAGAUCUCAAAAAGUCGUCUCAGUUCGGAUCGGAGUCUGCAACUCGACUCCGUGAAGCUGGAUUCGCUAG
This 600-nucleotide ribosomal RNA is filed under the name uncultured bacterium. RNAcentral describes it as "bacterial SSU rRNA". It matches the Rfam family "Bacterial small subunit ribosomal RNA", at positions 734 to 1338 of the family's 1533-position model. The record is from RNAcentral.